AUGACCGGAGUUCAGGGAGCUGUUAAUAUUCAGGGAGAGGAUCAGAAGAAGCUCGAUGUCAUCUCCAAUGAGGUCUGUUACGUCACUGUCACUAGUACUGUACUUUUUCGCAAAUCAUGUCUCAAAUUGAUCCCAAUACAUUUAGACAAAAAUAAUAUAAUAAGUAGAGUAAAUUUUUGCUUGAAUUUUAACUGAAGAAGAAGAUUACAGUGACUUUUAUUUAUUUAUUUAUUUAUUUUGCGUCACUUUGGGAAAACAGGGUGUUGCGAAUUUUCACAAAUGAACAGCUCUUCAAAUCUUGCAUGAAAUAAUUAUAUGAUACCUAAUCGGAUACUUCAUUUAGUGAUACAUUCAUCCAUUUCUACUUGAAUUGGAAAAAAGAGUUGGGUGUUAACUAGUUGAAAAAUGUGGUGGAUUCAACAGGUGUUUUCGAAUUGUUUGAGAUCGAGUGGAAGAACUGGGAUCAUUGCAUCGGAGGAGGAGGACGUGCCGGUGGCGGUGGAAGAGAGUUACUCCGGCAACUACAUUGUGGUGUUUGAUCCUCUUGAUGGAUCAUCCAACAUUGAUGCUGCUGUUUCAACUGGUUCUAUUUUCGGAAUCUACAGUCCAAACGACGAGUGUCUCCCUGAUCUUGACGAUAACUCCACGGUAACUUCCCGAUCAACUUGACUUUUAAGGUCAAACAGAUUCCAAUCAAACGCCGAUUGUUGGCUCUUGAAGUGAAAAUAGAUGUUUGAAGCUAACAAUAGAAAUUAAUUCUUGUAUAUGCAGCUGGACACCGAGGAACAGAGGUGCAUCGUGAACGUAUGCCAGCCCGGAACCAACCUUCUGGCAGCCGGUUACUGCAUGUACUCAAGCUCCGUCAUCUUCGUGCUCUCCAUAGGAACCGGCGUUUAUUCA
RNAcentral lists this long non-coding RNA (900 nucleotides) under Lactuca sativa (garden lettuce). RNAcentral describes it as "long non-coding RNA (LSAT_LNC008307)". Lineage: Eukaryota; Viridiplantae; Streptophyta; Magnoliopsida; Asterales; Asteraceae. The record is from RNAcentral.